GCUAUAAUGCAGUAGAGGAGAGACGAGGAGUUUGCUCCUCUGACGUUAGAGCGGACGGGUGAGUAACACGUGGAUAACCUACCUAUAAGACUGGGAUAACUUCGGGAAAACGGAGCUAAUACCGGAUAAUAUAUUGAACCGCAUGGUUCAAUAGUGAAAGACGGUUUUGCUGUCACUUAUAGAUGGAUCCGCGCCGCAUUAGCUAGUUGGUAAGGUAACGGCUUACCAAGGCAACGAUGCGUAGCCGACCUGAGAGGGUGAUCGGCCACACUGGAACUGAGACACGGUCCAGACUCCUACGGGAGGCAGCAGUAGGGAAUCUUCCGCAAUGGGCGAAAGCCUGACGGAGCAACGCCGCGUGAAUGAUGAAGGUCUUCGGAUCGUAAAACUCUGUUAUUAGGGAAGAACAAAUGUGUAAGUAACUAUGCACGUCUUGACGGUACCUAAUCAGAAAGCCACGGCUAACUACGUGCC
RNAcentral lists this ribosomal RNA (474 nucleotides) under uncultured bacterium. RNAcentral describes it as "bacterial SSU rRNA". It matches the Rfam family "Bacterial small subunit ribosomal RNA", at positions 46 to 509 of the family's 1533-position model. The record is from RNAcentral.